UGCAAGUCGAGCGGGGAAGUAUAGCUUGCUAUACGACCUAGCGGCGGACGGGUGAGUAAUGCUUAGGAAUCUGCCUAUUAGUGGGGGACAACAUUCCGAAAGGAAUGCUAAUACCGCAUACGCCCUACGGGGGAAAGCAGGGGAUCUUCGGACCUUGCGCUAAUAGAUGAGCCUAAGUCAGAUUAGCUAGUUGGUGGGGUAAAGGCCUACCAAGGCGACGAUCUGUAGCGGGUCUGAGAGGAUGAUCCGCCACACUGGGACUGAGACACGGCCCAGACUCCUACGGGAGGCAGCAGUGGGGAAUAUUGGACAAUGGGCGAAAGCCUGAUCCAGCCAUGCCGCGUGUGUGAAGAAGGCCUUUUGGUUGUAAAGCACUUUAAGCGAGGAGGAGGCUACCGAGAUUAAUACUCUUGGAUAGUGGACGUUACUCGCAGAAUAAGCACCGGCUAACUCUGUGCCAGCAGCCGCGGUAAUACAGAGGGUGCGAGCGUUAAUCGGAUUUACUGGGCGUAAAGCGUGCGUAGGCGGCUUUUUAAGUCGGAUGUGAAAUCCCUGAGCUUAACUUAGGAAUUGCAUUCGAUACUGGGAAGCUAGAGUAUGGGAGAGGAUGGUAGAAUUCCAGGUGUAGCGGUGAAAUGCGUAGAGAUCUGGAGGAAUACCGAUGGCGAAGGCAGCCAUCUGGCCUAAUACUGACGCUGAGGUACGAAAGCAUGGGGAGCAAACAGGAUUAGAUACCCUGGUAGUCCAUGCCGUAAACGAUGUCUACUAGCCGUU
This 774-nucleotide ribosomal RNA is filed under the name Acinetobacter sp. 2P2D1. RNAcentral describes it as "bacterial SSU rRNA". It matches the Rfam family "Bacterial small subunit ribosomal RNA", at positions 56 to 824 of the family's 1533-position model. Lineage: Bacteria; Pseudomonadati; Pseudomonadota; Gammaproteobacteria; Moraxellales; Moraxellaceae. The record is from RNAcentral.